The sequence is a signal recognition particle RNA, 282 nucleotides long. It matches the Rfam family "Archaeal signal recognition particle RNA".
CAGGAGGCUAGGUCGCGGAGCUAGGCCUUCCGUGCUGCUAAAAGCAGUGGCAAAUGGUCUAAAUGGCCGACCGAAGCCUGAGGGCGGUAUAAACUUAUAAAAAGGUCCAAGCCUCUAACUGAGAAGUCUCGCCUUUCAGGGUGAGCAGCCUAACAAAACCGAGGAGGUCCGGAAGGAAGCACUCGUAAGUUAGGUUGUCUCAUGCUUGAAAGAUACGGGAUGGAGAAGGAGGUUUGGAGCAACCUUUUUGUAAGGUUAUAUCCACCGACGGCAUGCCUCCUG